UCGGAUAUGGUGUAACGGCUAACAUUUGCGCCUCUCACGCGCAAGCUCGGGGUUCGACUCCCCGUAUCUGAA
This 72-nucleotide transfer RNA is filed under the name Fistulina hepatica ATCC 64428. RNAcentral's name for it is "tRNA-Glu (CTC) (tRNA-Glu-CTC-4-1)". It matches the Rfam family "tRNA". From Rfam's summary of the family: Transfer RNA (tRNA) molecules are approximately 80 nucleotides in length. Their secondary structure includes four short double-helical elements and three loops (D, anti-codon, and T loops). Further hydrogen bonds mediate the characteristic L-shaped molecular structure. tRNAs have two regions of fundamental functional importance: the anti-codon, which is responsible for specific mRNA codon recognition, and the 3' end, to which the tRNAs corresponding amino acid is attached (by aminoacyl-tRNA synthetases). tRNAs cope with the degeneracy of the genetic code in two manners: having more than one tRNA (with a specific anti-codon) for a particular amino acid; and 'wobble' base-pairing, i.e. permitting non-standard base-pairing at the 3rd anti-codon position. The record is from RNAcentral. Lineage: Eukaryota; Fungi; Basidiomycota; Agaricomycetes; Agaricales; Fistulinaceae.